RNAcentral lists this ribosomal RNA (406 nucleotides) under uncultured bacterium. RNAcentral's name for it is "partial 16S ribosomal RNA". It matches the Rfam family "Bacterial small subunit ribosomal RNA", at positions 29 to 526 of the family's 1533-position model. The record is from RNAcentral.
AUUGAACGCUGGCGGCAGGCCUAACACAUGCAAGUCGAACGAGUGGCGGACGGGUGAGUAAUGUCUGGGAAACUGCCUGAUGGAGGGGGAUAACUACUGGAAACGGUAGCUAAUACCGCAUACCAUCGGAUGUGCCCAGAUGGGAUUAGCUAGUAGGUGGGGUAACGGCUCACCUAGGCGACGAUCCCGAGCUGGUCUGCGAGGAGGACCAGCCACACUGGAACUGAGACAAGGUCCAGACUCCUACGGGAGGCAGCUGUGGGUAAGAUGGCACAAUGGGCGCAAGCCUGAUGCAGCCAUGCCGCGUGUAUGAAGAAGGCCUUCGGGGUGUAAAGUACUUUCAGCGGGGAGGCGUUACCCGCAGAAGAAGCACCGGCUAACUCCGUGCCAGCAGCCGCGGUAAUAC